GACGAACGCUGGCGGCGUGCUUAACACAUGCAAGUCGAACGGAAAGGCCCUGCUUUUGUGGGGUGCUCGAGUGGCGAACGGGUGAGUAACACGUGAGUAACCUGCCCUUGACUUUGGGAUAACUUCAGGAAACUGGGGCUAAUACCGGAUAGGAGCUCCUGCUGCAUGGUGGGGGUUGGAAAGUUUCGGCGGUUGGGGAUGGACUCGCGGCUUAUCAGCUUGUUGGUGGGGUAGUGACUUCCACAGGCUUGGAUGGUUAGCCGGCCUGGGAGGGGGACCGGCCACAGGGGGCUGGGGGAAGGACCAGACUCCUACGGGAGGCAGCAGGGGGGAAUAUUGCACAAUGGGCGGAAGCCUGAUGCAGCAACGCCGCGUGCGGGAUGACGGCCUUCGGGUUGUAAACCGCUUUCGCCGGUGACGAAGCGUGAGUGACGGUAAUGGGUAAAGAAGCACCGGCUAACUACGUG
This 467-nucleotide ribosomal RNA is filed under the name uncultured bacterium. RNAcentral's name for it is "partial 16S ribosomal RNA". It matches the Rfam family "Bacterial small subunit ribosomal RNA", at positions 28 to 507 of the family's 1533-position model. The record is from RNAcentral.